CUCAACAUUCGACAAACCCAAAGUUUCACACAUAGAUCUGCUUAAACAUUCUUUGUUUCUCAAUUUAUAUCGACAUCAGGAAAGACAAAAGGAACACAUCGUUCCUCAGCUACUUCUGAGGACUACUGUCACCGAAAGAAAAUCACCUCGCUUAAUGACUCGGAAGGUGAAAGCGAGACCCAAAAAUUUUCCACUACGAAGCAAGUAAAGGGUCUUAAACAAAAGUGCUCAAAAGGAACUAGAUAACCACAGCAAAGGCUAAAAAAUCUAUGGUUGACAUAAACUUCCGCGACGAAGCAGUUAAAGUAGGCGAAAGCGAAUCGACAAUCGAGUGCGCGUGUGCGCUGUGCGUCACUCGCGGCAUUAAUAUUUCGGCCAGUAAGGCAUCCGACACAUGGAGGGAUGUUUCAACAAAUAAAACCAACGGGGUUCGGUCGAAUCUUUUAAACCAAAAUAGUGUCCAGUAUUAAGUUACGCGGUGGUUACAAUCCCAGUAACCAAAUAUACUGGAGGCAAUUUCGUGCUUUGAGUCCGGUGCAUUGCAAAAAUCCUAAUAAGAAAACUGAUGUAGGCUAGCGGUAUCCUGUAGUACGAGAACUUUACCGAUAGGGAUCCUGUGUAGAUGAGAUGAUAGUCACCACCGACUCCGUUUUUAACGAUAUUCCUCUCAAUAGACGGCGUUAGCUGUAAAAGGGAUUUUACACAGGUUCUGGGGUGGUUCACAAACGUUUUGCAACCAGACGUCAUUUGAAUGGUGCAGCUCCUACCUGCAGCCCUGCAGUGUGCAAAAAUAGAUGGUGGAAAAAAUCUGCUCAUCAUGCUGAUCUGCACAAUGCCAGCUUCAUUAAGCAUUCUUGAGAAGAUUUCUUCAUUACAAUCUUCAGUUUCCCAGGCAGAUACCCAUCCGCAAGGCAAUGGGAUAUACAUUUCCCGUAUAUUUUCGAGACAUCUAGUGGUGAAAUAACUAACUCCGUAGAAUUUUUAUUGGUGUGUCAGCUGUCCCGUCAGCUGUUCCAUUUCGCGUGGCUGCGGACUGAGGAUGGCUGCUGAAACGAACGUCUAUCUUCCUGAAAUUAUACCACCGAUUCCGUGUAUUUUGAGUUGCAUCUUGUGAAUUCAAUCAAUGCAGAGAUGUUCAAGGAGGAACUUGGCUUGGCUAUGCUAGCAUGUUUUGUUUUUUUAAAUCUCCGUUAGCCUGAUAUACCCAUUUUGUUUCAUAGGUGAUACGUAAAAAGAGUAGUUCUUUACAAUCUUUUUCUCUAUCUAAAUCUCUUAAAUUCUUGGAGGUGUCUUAAGGUGAUGUUUGAAUUUAUUGUUAAUGGUUUUAAGUUUUUUAUAUCAUGCUUUCAGGUCUUUGGGAUGUACCUGAUGUACUGUGGUAAUCGCAAAAUCAUUCAAUGACUUGGUUCAAUCCAGGACUUGGUUUUCUUGAUAGUGGUUUACAGUUUUAAUUUGCAGAGAUUCUGGAGGCACCUGAUGUGUUUCAUUGGCAUUGGAGUCACUCGGUUACAGAAGAGAAUGCCACUACUGUUAUGUUGUCAGUGUAAAUAAAACAUAUUCUUUUUCA
RNAcentral lists this long non-coding RNA (1567 nucleotides) under Daphnia magna. Its description in RNAcentral is "uncharacterized LOC116934441". Lineage: Eukaryota; Metazoa; Arthropoda; Branchiopoda; Diplostraca; Daphniidae. The record is from RNAcentral.